CAGGCAUGAGUCACUGUGCCAGGCCCACAAAGUUUUAUAAUAUUCUAAUGGGCAGGCACCUAAGGAAGUGGUUAAGUAGAGCUGGUGUGGGAUGAGGUGUCUUUAUAUUCGGCUGAUAGGUUUUAAGUUAUCUGGGAAGUCAGACAAAAGCUGUGAGUGAAUGGGAGCUCUGGGUCUGACAGGCUGGGGUCAGACUGCCAUGGGGCAGACACAGCUGAUUUUCCAGCUAGGUCCCUGAUAAUCACAUAACCACAAGGCUACUGCCACCCAGUGUGCACACAUAUUUGGGGAUUAUUGGGGUUGGCCAAUAAGCUACCUGAGACCUCUGGCUGAAGAAAUCUGGGUGGACAAGACGCUGCAGUUGCUGGUACCUGUGCUGGAGCUUCGCUGUAUCAACUCUGAAGGAAC
This 408-nucleotide long non-coding RNA is filed under the name Pan troglodytes (chimpanzee). RNAcentral describes it as "long non-coding RNA NONPTRT009739". The record is from RNAcentral. Lineage: Eukaryota; Metazoa; Chordata; Mammalia; Primates; Hominidae.